AGAACGAACGCUGGCGGCAGGCCUAACACAUGCAAGUCGAACGCCCCGCAAGGGGAGUGGCAGACGGGUGAGUAACGCGUGGGAACAUACCUUUCGGUUCGGAAUAGCUCAGGGAAACUUGAAUUAAUACCGGAUACGUCCAAGGUUUAACGACUUUGGAGAAAGAUUUAUCGCCGAAAGAUUGGCCCGCGUCCGAUUAGCUAGUUGGUGGGGUAAUAGCUUACCAAGGCGACGAUCGGUAGCUGGUCUGAGAGGAUGAUCAGCCACACUGGGACUGAGACACGGCCCAGACUCCUACGGGAGGCAGCAGUGGGGGAUAUUGGACAAUGGGCGCAAGCCUGAUCCAGCCAUGCCGCGUGAGUGAUGAAGGCCCUAGGGUUGUAAAGCUCUUUCGUCAGGGACGAUAAUGACGGUACCUGAAGAGAAGCCCGGCUAACUUCGCGCCAGCAGCCGC
RNAcentral lists this ribosomal RNA (454 nucleotides) under uncultured bacterium. RNAcentral's name for it is "SSU rRNA". It matches the Rfam family "Bacterial small subunit ribosomal RNA", at positions 26 to 518 of the family's 1533-position model. The record is from RNAcentral.